RNAcentral lists this long non-coding RNA (227 nucleotides) under Elaeis guineensis (African oil palm). Its description in RNAcentral is "long non-coding RNA (EGUI_LNC053312)". The record is from RNAcentral. Lineage: Eukaryota; Viridiplantae; Streptophyta; Magnoliopsida; Arecales; Arecaceae.
GUGUGAGAGAUCAUGAACCGAAAUGAUAUCGAGCUUCAGAAGAUCGAUGGAAAGGAGAACCUAGCCGACCUCUUCACUAAAGCUCUCGAGAUCAAAGAGUUUGAUUACUUCAAAUGAAAGAUGGGUAUAAAAUACUGCUCCGAUUGAUUUUAGUCCAAGUAAAAGUUAUUGGGAAGUAAGUCCUAAAAUCAAUCGUAUGACGAUUGAGUUCAUCUUUGUAUAUAAAU